GACGAACGCUGGCGGCGGGCUUAACACAUGCAAGUCGAACGGAAAGGCCCUGCUUGCGUGGGGUGCCCGAUGGGCGAACGGGGGAGUAACACGUGAGUAACCGGCCCUUGACUUUGGGAUAACUUCAGGAAACUGGGGCUAAUACCGGAUAGGAGCUCCUGCUGCAUGGUGGGGGUUGGAAAGUUUCGGCUGGUGGGGAUGGACGCGCGGCUGAUCAGCUUGUUGGUGGGGGAGUGGCUUACCAAGGCUUUGGAGGGUAGCCGGCCUGAGAGGGUGGCCGGCGACCUUGGGCCUGCGAUACGGCCCAGACUGCUACGGGGGGCAGCAGUGGGAAAUCUUGCCCAAUGGGCCGGAGUCUGAUGAAGAAACGUCGCGUGCGGGAAGACGGCCUUCGGGUUGUAAAACGCUUCCGCCUGUGACGCAGCGUGAGUGACGGUAAUGGGUAAAGAAGCACCGGCUAACUACGUG
RNAcentral lists this ribosomal RNA (468 nucleotides) under uncultured bacterium. RNAcentral describes it as "partial 16S ribosomal RNA". It matches the Rfam family "Bacterial small subunit ribosomal RNA", at positions 28 to 507 of the family's 1533-position model. The record is from RNAcentral.